GCAGACACUUGCGUUUAGGUUCAGUGCUCUUAGAUGGAGGAGUGUGAAUACCAAUCAGAGGCCUGACCUUCCAACAGUCAUUUAUCAAACGUCUUCCUCGAUCAGGGUCAAGAGCUGCGUGCUCCCGGUCUCUUCCUUAGGGGGAUUAGAGAAGAGUUAUGACCGAAAGGUUAAAGUAAAAGAGAGACCAAAGUGGAGGAGAGUUGCUCUGACCAUAUUUCUCCAGAGCUGCUGAGACCCAAUACUGUUUUCCUCAAUUUCUUGUAAACGAUUCCAAUCUUAUCUGACCUUUUUACCUUGUAAUCAAAUUGCUGUUGCCAUCCAGAUGCAGUUCUGGAAAAGCAGAUAACCCAUCUGUGUCCUUGCACACCAAUUUGUGGGGAUGUCCUGGCCACUCUCUGCUUUUUCAAUCAUGUCAAGUGUUUUUCCUGGGCACAGCUCUGUGUCUGGCCAACUACUUGGCCUGUGGUCACUCUAAAUUGAAAAGUCUGCUCAUGUAAAAUGAAUGGCUCUAAGUUCUCAGCCAGGAUACUUUUUGAUUUGAGGAGAAAAAAUAGACGUGAUGUGUAAUCUUCUCAAAGUGUUGAUAUGUUUUCACAGGCUUUAAGAGCGCCUGCUCUGACGGUGUGGUAACAGAUUGGAAAAUAAUUUUCAAUCCACACUUUAGACUCUCCCUUGGAUACCUAUCUAUGAGCUUUUGACAGGGUAACAAAUGGCUUUUAUAUUAUUGUAUUGAUGAUUGAACUAUAAUAAUGGACGAGGUUGAGAGAUAUAUAAAGGCCUGAUAUCCACUGGAAACCAAUCGGACAAGAGUUUUAACAAUAGGCAACGUUCUAAAUUGAAGUGUAUCCUAUGUGGCUUUUAGCAAUCAGAGAAUCCUGGAAAAUUUGGGACUUCAGGCAACACAGCAGUGCAACUUAACGGUGCUUUAUGGCUCCAUUGGGGAUCGAAGUGAAAACAUCUUCCACUUCAGAACAGUCAAGCAAUUUCAUUUCUGGCUGAAGGUCUGGGAUUAGAUGAGUCAGAAGCUUAGAUUUCACUUAACGUCCAUUCCCCUCAUAAGUACUGUGAAAUGCACUUUCAGUCUGUGGAUAAUAUCCCCGCUGCCAGGGCUGAAAACCUCCAUCCCAAACGAGGGUUUAAACAAUUAAACAACACAGUAGUGACUGUGAGAAGUUGUGCACUGAAGCAGCAGAUCACCGAGUCUGCUGGCUUCCACAUCUGCUUCUUCUCCAGCUUGGUUUCUGAGGUUAAACCAUAAAUGCAUCAAUGUGGGAUAGUCUUCACGAGGUGCCUUUUCAUCAUAGCUUUAGACCUUGAAGCUUUGAACUGAUGCUCUAAUGAUUUUUCCUUUAUGGACCUGGGUGAAAUGACUUUUAAACAUUGAACACAUAACGUAAUGAAUUUGCAUAUGAAUGCUUUCUGUGAAAAGUGAUGAAAAAUAUGGCUAUAUGGGGUUUAUGUACUGGCAAGCAAUAGACAUUACAACCAACAAGAUCCAGUGUGGAAAUAACUUCCAAGUUGUACAAACCAAGAGGGACUGUUUGUGGCUGUUACUUCAGAUUCGACUCAAGUUAGAUGAGUCAUAAUGUGACCGUGUUAGAAAGACAACGAUUAGUCAUCUCUAACCACUUAUGUACUGUAAUUAGUUUUUUUGUUUUUUGCUUAACAACGUCAUAGAAAUAUACAGAUGCUUGCGAGGGAUUUCAACAGUUUAUCUUUUCAUUCUUCUGGGCUGAUUUGCAAGUACAUUUUAGCAAAUUCUCAGCAAGUUUGACUUGAAACUGUCAUUUUGGGUAGUUUGAAGGGGCUAUCUCUGGUUAGCUUGUUUUCUUUGUUUGCUAUUCACCAAAUUGCACAUCUUUUAAAUGCCAUUGGUGAACAUUUAAUACCAAUAUCCAUGCUUUUGAGUGGUGUAUCAAAAUGUUCAGUUUUCUGUGUCAUGCCCAAGUAUGCGAAGGGGCAAUAAAAGCCGUCAUAUUUUUCCAACAGUGAUUUCAGAAAUUUUCAGUGAAAGCUGCCUGAAGCCCUCACUGUGAUCUGGCCUUAGCUUUACUGCUCUCAUCUGUUUCCAAAUCCCCGAUAAGCUCCAUUUUGUUAAUGUCCAACUAAUGAAACCCACAGACAAGGCUAACUAGAAACAGGAGAAUAAAUCAGUGCCUGAAGUGAGUAAAAAUUAAUGCUUCUUGAUUUUAAACAGGUAAUUUUCUCUGUUGUAAUCUGUUCUUCAUUUCUGUCAAGUGAUAAAAAGUGUUUUUUUUUUACCUCUAACAUGCGGGGUCAUGUGGUUUAUAGCAAGAUGCCCCCAAGCUAGCAUAUGGUUUUAAGUUAUAAACUGCAACAUCUCACCAAGCCUUAACCUUGGUUCUCCCAAUGAUGCCCUUUUUCUCAUUGCACUGCUUAUGCUAAUCUUUAGCCAGUGUAUAUUAGUCAAUUUCUUUAAGGCUCUUCGUGUACAUUGAUAGUUAAGUUGUAUUUCCCAAAAGAAUUGAUUGGUAAUCUAUAUUUUCAGUUUUGCUAAACUCAUGUAACCAUUUUACUUUUCAACCUGUCUGUUUUGCUUGCUUACAAACAGCAAGAACACAAAGUCAGUCUUCGUUUUAUCAAGGCUGCCUGACUUUUAAGCCACUGUCAAUUUAAACUUUCACCUUAGUUUUACGACAACAAACGGAACUUAAAAAGCCGUAGAUGUUACGGUCACUGUUAUUAAAAAUUGUGUUUAGGCUGCUGAAGUAAUAAUAAAUGUUUGAAUUGGAGAUUAAGGUUAGAUGUAGGCUAAGGAAGCAAAAAAAAACAAAAAA
Long non-coding RNA from Cynoglossus semilaevis (tongue sole), 2801 nucleotides. RefSeq lists it as uncharacterized. The record is from RefSeq and is a predicted model, not a curated record. The transcript has 2 exons. Lineage: Eukaryota; Metazoa; Chordata; Actinopteri; Pleuronectiformes; Cynoglossidae.